RNAcentral lists this ribosomal RNA (468 nucleotides) under uncultured bacterium. RNAcentral describes it as "partial 16S ribosomal RNA". It matches the Rfam family "Bacterial small subunit ribosomal RNA", at positions 28 to 507 of the family's 1533-position model. The record is from RNAcentral.
GACGAACGCUGGCGGCGUGCUUAACACAUGCAAGUCGAACGGAAAGUCCCUGCUUUUUUGGGUUUCUCGAUUUGCGAACGGGUGUGUAACACGUGAGUCACCUGCCCUUUACUUUCGGAUAACUUCAGGUAACUGGGGCUAAUACCUGAUAGGAUCUCCUGCUUCUUGGUGGGCUUUGGAAAUUUUCGGCGGUUGGGGAUGGACUCGCGGCUUAUCAUCUUGUUUGUGGGGUAGUGGCUUACCAAGGCUUUGACGGGUAGACGGCCUGAGAGGGUGACCGGCGACAAUGGGACUGAGAUACGGCGCAGACGGCAACGGGAGGCAGCAGUGGGGAAUAUUGCACAAUGGGGGGAAGCGUGAUGAAGAAACGCCGCGUGCGGGAUGAAGGCCUUCGGGUUGUAAACCGAUUUAGAAUGUGACGAAGAGUGAGUGACGGUAAUGGGUAAAGAAGCACCGGCUAACUACGUG